GCAGGGGUCGCCUAGUCUGGUCAAUGGCGUGGCGCUCAAGACGCCAUGGGUUAGUCCCUUCGAGAGUUCGAAUCUCUCCCUCUGCA
This 86-nucleotide transfer RNA is filed under the name Candidatus Aenigmatarchaeota archaeon. Its description in RNAcentral is "tRNA-Leu". It matches the Rfam family "tRNA". From Rfam's summary of the family: Transfer RNA (tRNA) molecules are approximately 80 nucleotides in length. Their secondary structure includes four short double-helical elements and three loops (D, anti-codon, and T loops). Further hydrogen bonds mediate the characteristic L-shaped molecular structure. tRNAs have two regions of fundamental functional importance: the anti-codon, which is responsible for specific mRNA codon recognition, and the 3' end, to which the tRNAs corresponding amino acid is attached (by aminoacyl-tRNA synthetases). tRNAs cope with the degeneracy of the genetic code in two manners: having more than one tRNA (with a specific anti-codon) for a particular amino acid; and 'wobble' base-pairing, i.e. permitting non-standard base-pairing at the 3rd anti-codon position. Lineage: Archaea; Nanobdellati; Candidatus Aenigmatarchaeota. The record is from RNAcentral.